Molecule: ribosomal RNA, 794 nt
Filed under: uncultured Methanococcoides sp.
Lineage: Archaea; Methanobacteriati; Methanobacteriota; Methanomicrobia; Methanosarcinales; Methanosarcinaceae
Description: bacterial SSU rRNA
Rfam family: Archaeal small subunit ribosomal RNA
Source: RNAcentral
ACGGCUCAGUAACACGUGGAUAACCUGCCCUUAGGUUUGGCAUAACUCCGGGAAACUGGAGAUAAUUCCGAAUAGGUCAAAUAUGCUGGAAUGCUUUUUGGCCAAAAGACCUCGGUUGCCUAAGGAUGGAUCUGCGGUCUAUCAGGUAGUAGUGGGUGUAACGUACCUACUAGCCUACGACGGAUAUGGGUUGUGAGAGCAAGAGCCCAGAGAUGGAUUCUGAGACAUGAAUCCAGGCCCUACGGGGCGCAGCAGGCGCGAAAACUUUACAAUGCGGGAAACCGCGAUAAGGGGACACCGAGUGCCAGCAUUUAUGUUGGCUGUCCACAUGUGUAAACGGCAUGUGUUAGCAAGGGCCGGGCAAGACCGGUGCCAGCCGCCGCGGUAACACCGGCGGCCCGAGUGGUAAUCACUUUUAUUGGGUCUAAAGGGUCCGUAGCCGGUUUGAUCAGUUCUUCGGGAAAUCUGACAGCUCAACUGUUAGGCUUCCGGGGAAUACUGUCAGACUUGGGACCGGGAGAGGUAAGAGGUACUACAGGGGUAGGAGUGAAAUCUUGUAAUCCCUGUGGGACCACCAGUGGCGAAGGCGUCUUACCAGAACGGGUCCGACGGUGAGGGACGAAAGCUGGGGGCACGAACCGGAUUAGAUACCCGGGUAGUCCCAGCCGUAAACGAUGUUCGCUAGGUGUCAGGGGCGGUGCGACCGUUUCAGGUGCCGCAGGGAAGCCGUGAAGCGAGCCACCUGGGAAGUACGGCCGCAAGGCUGAAACUUAAAGGAAUUGGCGGGGGAGCAC